This 253-nucleotide ribosomal RNA is filed under the name uncultured bacterium. Its description in RNAcentral is "partial 16S ribosomal RNA". It matches the Rfam family "Bacterial small subunit ribosomal RNA", at positions 524 to 776 of the family's 1533-position model. The record is from RNAcentral.
UACGUAGGGUGCAAGCGUUGUCCGGAGUUAUUGGGCGUAAAGAGCUCGUAGGCGGUUUGUCGCGUCUGCUGUGAAAUCCCGGGGCUCAACCCCGGGUCUGCAUUCGAUACGGGCAGACUAGAGUUCGGUAGGGGAGUCUGGAAUUCCUGGUGGAGCGGUGAAAUGCGUAGAGAUCGGAAAGAACACCAACGGCGAAAGCACUCUGCUGGGCCGACACUGACACUGAGAGACGAAAGCUAGGGGAGCGAAUGGG